This 690-nucleotide long non-coding RNA is filed under the name Olea europaea subsp. europaea. The record is from RNAcentral. Lineage: Eukaryota; Viridiplantae; Streptophyta; Magnoliopsida; Lamiales; Oleaceae.
CCUAGUGCAGUGACAAAUUUCUUUAAUGUCUGAGAAUUGAAAGAAUCAAACAAAUAAAUGGUAGUACGCCCAAACAAAUGAAAAAAAGAGAGAAGAAGUAUUUAAAUUUUAAAAACUGAAAUUACCAGCGGACUACAUGUAAAAUAUCAGCAAAAACAUAGCCUCCAACAACAAAGAACUAACCAUAUCGAAAUUGAACACACCAUUUACUUGCAGAAAAUCAAAGAAAUAGAUUAUCACUUCCUAUGCUUGCUAAUAUACACGCAUGUUUUCAUGAUCCAGAAAACAUGCAGGGAGACGUGAUUUGCAAGAAACUUAUUACUUUGCAGAAGAUGCCUGUAAAGAUUCUGCGUUUGAUGCCUCAGAAAACAUGCAGGGAAACGUGAUUUGCAAGAAAAUUUUAAAUUUGCAGAGGAUGCCUGUAAAGAUUCUGCGUUUGACGGCUCCUGAUCGAACUGGAGUAAUAAAAGGGUAUGUUUUGAAUUUGCUGCUACUCUCAGAAAAUGUAGUGUUGGGGUAGUCAGAACUGAUCAACUCCUUGGCCUUGAAAUCCAUCCCAUUCUGCUCCAUAUCUAUGGGGGAUUAUCAACUCCUUCGUCACUCUGUGUGUUUGAGAUAGAGAGAAAGAAAUGAAUAGUUUGAAUGAUUCUGUAUUCCAAGAAGCCAAAUGUUUCGAUAUAUAUAGACGAG